RNAcentral lists this long non-coding RNA (258 nucleotides) under Elaeis guineensis (African oil palm). Its description in RNAcentral is "long non-coding RNA (EGUI_LNC034259)". The record is from RNAcentral. Lineage: Eukaryota; Viridiplantae; Streptophyta; Magnoliopsida; Arecales; Arecaceae.
CGGCAUCUUUUUGAACUCUCCCGACUGUCCGAGCUUCUUCCGAACUUCGUCAAUGUCUGGGCUUCUCCAGGCAGCAGGACUGCUACAGUAAGCGAAUUUCGUCCGAACUUCUAUUGCAGGCGAACUUCAGCCAAGCUUCUACAAGAAUCGAAUUAUGUCCGAACUUCUAUUGCAGGCUGAUUUCAGCUGAGCUUCUACGAUAAGCGGUCUCCAUCUGGGCUACCACGACAAUCGGACUCCAUCCGAGCUUCUACAGUA